GGAGGGGUGCGAGCGUUAAUCGGAAUUACUGGGCGUAAGGCGCGCGUAGGCGGGCUUGGUCAGUCGGGAUGUGAAAGCCCCCGGGGCUUAACCUGGGAAUUGCAUUCGAUACUGCCAGACUAGAGUAUGGGAGAGGGAAGCGGAAUUUCCGGUGUAGCGGUGAAAUGCGUAGAUAUCGGAAGGAACACCAGUGGCGAAGGCGGCUUCCUGGCCCAAUACUGACGCUGAGGUGCGAAAGCGUGGGGAGCGAACAGGAUUAGAUACCCUGGUAGUCCACGCCGUAAACGAUGAGAACUAGAUGUCGGGAGGAUUUGCCUCUCGGUGUCGCAGCUAACGCGUUAAGUUCUCCGCCUGGGGAGUACGCCGGCAACGGUA
Molecule: ribosomal RNA, 375 nt
Filed under: uncultured organism
Description: partial 16S ribosomal RNA
Rfam family: Bacterial small subunit ribosomal RNA
Source: RNAcentral